This is a long non-coding RNA of Mya arenaria, 301 nucleotides long. RefSeq lists it as uncharacterized. The transcript is spliced from 3 exons. Lineage: Eukaryota; Metazoa; Mollusca; Bivalvia; Myida; Myidae. The record is from RefSeq and is a predicted model, not a curated record.
AUUUACCAUGCAGACAUAACGUUCACUCGUUUUGCCAUGUGACUGCAGGUCAUCCGUACUACACUUGCAAGUGCAUGGACCACUUCAAAGGGUCCGACUGUGACGAAAAUCAUUGGUGCUCUUACGACAACAGAUGUUCAAAUAACGGGACCUGUACACCCAUUGACCAAUCACCUUUCUAUCACUGCGCAUGCCCAAGCGGAUCUUCCGGACUGGAGUGUAAAGAUCAUGAUGCGUGCUCGAGUAGCCCAUGCCAGCACGGGGCAACGUGUCACGUGAAGGCAGCUGCUCCUUACUUCAC